GAUGAACGCUGGCGGCGUGCUUAACACAUGCAAGUCGAACGAUGAAGCCCAGCUUGCUGCGUGGAUUAGUGGCGAACGGGUGAGUAACACGUGAGUAACCUGCCCUUAACUCUGGGAUAAGCCUGGGAAACUGGGUCUAAUACCGGAUAGGAGCGUCCACCGCAUGGUGGGUGUUGGAAAGAUUUAUCGGUUUUGGAUGGACUCGCGGCCUAUCAGCUUGUUGGUGAGGUAAUGGCUCACCAAGGCGACGACGGGUAGCCGGCCUGAGAGGGUGACCGGCCACACUGGGACUGAGACACGGCCCAGACUCCUACGGGAGGCAGCAGUGGGGAAUAUUGCACAAUGGGCGCAAGCCUGAUGCAGCGACGCCGCGUGAGGGAUGACGGCCUUCGGGUUGUAAACCUCUUUCAGUAGGGAAGAAGCGAAAGUGACGGUACCUGCAGAAGAAGCACCGGCUAACUACGUG
This 466-nucleotide ribosomal RNA is filed under the name uncultured bacterium. Its description in RNAcentral is "partial 16S ribosomal RNA". It matches the Rfam family "Bacterial small subunit ribosomal RNA", at positions 28 to 507 of the family's 1533-position model. The record is from RNAcentral.